AGAUGGUAGUAGAGGUAGAUGGUAGUAGAGGUAGAUGGUAGUAGAUGGUAGAUGGUAGUAGAGGUAGAUGGUAGUAGAGGUAGAUGGUAGUAGAGGUAGAUGGUAGUAGAGGUAGAUGGUAGUAGAGGUAGAUGGUAGAUGGUAGUAGAGGUAGAUGGUAGUAGAGGUAGAUGGUAGUAGAGGUAGAUAGAUGGUAGUAGAGGUAGAUGGUAGUAGAGGUAGAUGGUAGUAGAGGGUAGAUGGUAGUAGAGGUAGAUGGUAGUAGAGGUAGAUGGUAGUAGAGGGUAGAUGGUAGUAAAGGUAGAUGG
Molecule: long non-coding RNA, 308 nt
Organism: Oncorhynchus tshawytscha (Chinook salmon)
Lineage: Eukaryota; Metazoa; Chordata; Actinopteri; Salmoniformes; Salmonidae
Source: Ensembl